Molecule: long non-coding RNA, 1181 nt
Filed under: Vigna radiata
Lineage: Eukaryota; Viridiplantae; Streptophyta; Magnoliopsida; Fabales; Fabaceae
Description: long non-coding RNA (VRAD_LNC013771)
Source: RNAcentral
UUUGAAAAGUUUUUCUGCGAAUGCAAUUAGACUAAAUUAAAACGCGCAAAUAACACCUAAUUAACAAGAUUGAAACGGUCGGAUACUAAAGCUAACAUUACGACUAAAUUAUCACUACCAAAAAUACUAGUCAAUAUUAAAAUAAGAGAAAAUAUUAAAUAAAACAAAAUGAAAUUGAGUCANUAAAUUAAAGAGCUUAGCUAGCNGCAUUUGAAUAUUCACGCUUUAUAUGCAAAGAAAUCGAAUCGNGAACAAUCAGGAAAUGAAAGCAACGUGCAGGUUAAAUAACAUUUCAAUGCAAGAGAGUUGAAAGCUAAAAUAAAAUAGAAAUGAACGAGUAGGCCAAUUAAAUGAAACAGGAAAGUUGCUUCUUGAUGAACUGUUCAGCAUGAAUGAAAGAAAUGUCAAAAUGAAUCCGAUAUGGGAGAAAAGGAAUAAAGCAUAAAACGCAUUUAAUGCUAAGCGGAAGCACAUUCAUCGAAAUUGAAAGAGUCGGAGUAAAAAAAAAUAUAUGCUNACAAUGCAUAAGAUAGUGAUGAAUCCGAUUCUCUCCAAAAGCCAAUGAAAAUGAUAAAGAAAAAAAAUGUGUGUGCUGCACUAUCCAAAAUCCAUCACCGUGUGUUCUCCUUCCAAAUGAAAAUACAUCGUGUAAUAAUAUCUCUGUGUGUCGGCUAGACUAUUCCACCUAGCACCCCCUCAGCCUAGGGUUGCGUGUGCCCUUAAUUUCCCAUGCCUUCCAAUUUUAUUUUUUUUUGCUUGGACCGUCUCUCCAAAACUUUGUGGACAUUGCUAAGUGUGGCAGCUUUUUCAAUUUGUCAUUGGGCCGUGGGAGUCAAAGAAAGCCUGCAUUCUCCCAAUUUGCUUUCCAAAAUGGUAGCAAUUAAAAUAAAAGCUUUUAUUUAAAAUAAAAACACCGGAUGCCUUUAAAUGGAAUCAUCACAUAUGGUAAAAUCAAAUUCACUCCCGGCCGUGGCACUUCUUCUUUUAAAUAAGUUUCUUUUUUUUUUCUUUUCUUUUCUUUUUUUCUUUUCUUUUUCUUUUCUUUUUUUUUCUUCUUCUUUCUUUUUUUUUAACAAAAUAAAAACAAAAUAUUCUAAACCUAAUCUAAUUAUUUUGUCUCCUCCAAAUGUCCCAAAUUAUGUUUCCAAAAUUUUCCCUGAAAAUAAUAAUGCAAAUAAUUA